GUGGGGAAUAUUGGACAAUGGGCGCAAGCCUGAUCCAGCAAUGCCGCGUGGGUGAAGAAGGCCUUCGGGUCGUAAAGCUCUGUCGCAGGGGAAUAACACAAUGAAGGUACCCUGUAAGAAAGGAUCGGCUAACUUCGUGCCAGCAGCCGCGGUAAGACGAGGGAUCCUAGCGUUGUUCGGAAUCAUUGGGCGUAAAGCGGAUGUAGGUGGCUAUGUAAGUCAGAUGUGAAAGCCUGGGGCUCAACCCCAGAAGUGCAUUUGAUACUGCGUAGCUUGAGUGUCGGAGAGGUUACUAGAAUUGUUGGUGUAGUGGUGAAAUACGUAGAUAUCAACAGGAAUACCGGAGGCGAAGGCGGGUAACUGGCCGAACACUGACACUGAGAUCCGAAAGCGUGGGGAUCAAACAGGAUUAGAAACCCGUGUAGUCC
This 428-nucleotide ribosomal RNA is filed under the name uncultured bacterium. RNAcentral's name for it is "bacterial SSU rRNA". It matches the Rfam family "Bacterial small subunit ribosomal RNA", at positions 354 to 796 of the family's 1533-position model. The record is from RNAcentral.